UGCCCGUGAAUUUUUUUACGGCCGCGGUACUCUGACCGUGCAAAGGUAGCAUAAUCAUUUGCCUUAUAAUUGAAGGCUAGUAUGAAUGGUUUGACAUGAAUGUAGCUGUCUCUUUAUAAUUUAAUAGAAUUUUACUUUCAGGUGAAGAGGCCUGUAUUUAAUUAAAAGACAAGAAGACCCUAUCGAGCUUUAAAAAAACUAACAGAAUUUAGAUUAAUAUCACUAAAAAAUUGUCUGUUAUACAUUUUAGUUGGGGCGACUGAGGAACAUAAAAAGCUUCCUUUAAACUUACUAAAAUCAAACUAGAAUUGAUCCAAAACAUUUUGAUUAAAGGAAUUAGUUACCGUAGGGAUAACAGCAUUAUCUUUUUUAAGAGCUCAUAUCGAAAAAAAGGUUUGUGACCUCGAUGUUGGACCAGAAUAUCCUAAAGGUGCAGCAGCCUUUAAGGGUUGGUCUGUUCGACCAUUAAAAUUCUACCUGA
RNAcentral lists this ribosomal RNA (481 nucleotides) under Tritia burchardi. RNAcentral's name for it is "partial 16S ribosomal RNA". It matches the Rfam family "Bacterial large subunit ribosomal RNA", at positions 1862 to 2603 of the family's 2925-position model. Lineage: Eukaryota; Metazoa; Mollusca; Gastropoda; Neogastropoda; Nassariidae. The record is from RNAcentral.